GUACUGUCCGCCCGUCGGAUUCAGUCCGCCUGGGCGGCGUCCGCGGCGAUCGCGCAUCUCCUCCGCGGGAGCGCGUCGACGUCGGAACGCCGUUCGGCGGCCGUACUUUCGGCGGGCGGAGCGCCACGACCGGUUCGCGCGCGGCCAGAAACUCCCCGGCAAGGUGGCCGGCGCCUCGGCGUCGGACCUUACAGGCCGGGUGAGCGUUGGACCGUGUGCGGACCGAGGAAGCUUUCUCUCGGCGGUGCGUCGACCGCCGGGCGUGCGGGCGCGUUCGACUCGGGGGGACUGGUGUCCAGUGCCCUCGGACCGCGCGUCCGUACCGCCCGGACGGCCCGGCGCGUCGCUCGGGGUCGGUGGCGAAUCGGCCGGCAACCUGUCCGACCCGUCUUGAAACACGGACCAAGGAGUCUAACAUGUGCGCAAGUCGUUGGGCGUUACGAAACCCGAAGGCGCAAUGAAAGUGAAGGCCCGGCCUCGCGUCGGCCUAGGUGGGAUGCGGACGUCUCGGCGUCCGUCGCACCACCGGCCCGUCUCGUUCGCCACGUCGAGGAGGCGGAGCAAGAGCGUACACGUUGGGACCCGAAAGAUGGUGAACUAUGCCUGAGUAGGGCGAAGCCAGAGGAAACUCUGGUGGAGGUCCGUAGCGAUUCUGACGUGCAAAUCGAUCGUCAAACUUGGGUAUAGGGGCGAAAGACUAAUCGAACCAUCUAGUAGCUGGUUCCUGUCGAAGUUUCCCUCAGGAUAGCUGACGCUCAUCGCCGGCAGUUUUAUCCGGUAAAGCGAAUGAUUGGAGGCCUUGGGGACGAAACGUCCUCAACCUACUCUCAAACUUUAAAUGGGUAAGACGUCCGACUCGCUCGAUUGGAGCCC
This 873-nucleotide ribosomal RNA is filed under the name Rhinodrilus brasiliensis. RNAcentral describes it as "partial 28S ribosomal RNA". The stretch from base 300 to 873 matches the Rfam family "Eukaryotic large subunit ribosomal RNA", at positions 1 to 1103 of the family's 3401-position model. Lineage: Eukaryota; Metazoa; Annelida; Clitellata; Crassiclitellata; Glossoscolecidae. The record is from RNAcentral.